RNA transcript from Populus nigra (black poplar), 2566 nucleotides. It is a transcript of the gene named ABSCISIC ACID-INSENSITIVE 5-like protein 7, with no coding region annotated. Lineage: Eukaryota; Viridiplantae; Streptophyta; Magnoliopsida; Malpighiales; Salicaceae. The record is from RefSeq and is a predicted model, not a curated record. The transcript is spliced from 4 exons.
UAUUGUCCCUUGCCGUGGCUGUCUAUCUCCCUUCUACUAGCACAGUGUUUGUUUUCACUUUUUUUUUUUUUUUAUUGUCUCUCGUAUUUCUUCCUUUUUUCUUUCUCAAAAACUCUCUUUUUUUGUAGAUUUUAAUUUAAUAAUUUCAUCAAUUGAUAGAUUCAAUAUUGUUUAACGUGGUUUGAGUGGGCUCUUAUCCCCCCCCCCACCCUGGUUUUGGGUGCUGAAAGUCGAAAUAUUGUUAUAAAAUGAGUUGUUUGGACUUUCAUUAGUGUAAUUUCUUUGUUGGUUUAAUUUUUUACUUGGUAUUGGUAUUUUUUAUUUGGAAAAUGGGUUGGUCUUGGCUAGUUUUUACGGGUCUAAAGCUUGAUCCUUUUUGCUUAAUUUAUGGGUAUUUGAGUUAGGGAUGUGAUAUUAUCAGCACAGAAGCAUGGAAAGUAUCAAACCUGGAAGCUGCUAUUUGUAUGUUAUCUUCUUCUUUUUUUUUUGCAGUUUUAAUGAACGUUUGGAUCUGAAAUUGAGGAGAGAACAUGAAAAUUGCUUCAGUUUUAGUUUAGUUUGAUCUCUAUUUAUUGGAUAAUAACUCUGCAGGGGUGUUUUUCUUAUUCUAGAACUCUACUUCAUUGUGCUUUGUGCUAUCAUAGAUUCCUGGAAGUGGGAUCGUUUCAUCUGCGUGUGUGGGUGUUAAGUCUUGUAAUUGCAUGGAUUCGACUCUUUGAGGCCAUGCAUUAGUGUGUGCUUCUUUUUAUGAAAAUUGGAUGCUUUUUGAAAGUUUAGCCUUGGUCUAACAGAUUCAAAGAUUGCACAGUUUGUUUUCUUAUGCCCUGGGAAGUGGUGUCUGUAGGAGCUUUAAAUCUUGAUACCUUUUUUUUUCAAGCCAUGGCUUGGCUUGUUUUUGUCCAAUUGGAUUUUUGAAGUAACUGUGCAGUUGAUGUAUAGUUUUAUGCUCAUGCUUACUUGAACUUGGGUCUUAAAAUUUGUGUAGUUGGACCGAGAAUGGAAAAACUGUAACUUUUACUCCUAUAUGACUUGGUUUAGUGAUUUUUUCUUAUCUCAAUUUACGUAGGCGGAGUGAGAUUCCAUUUUGAUCUUCUUUAAUUUUAUAAAAGUUCCAGAACUACUUGAUUUAGUCAGCUGUGGCCGCCACUUGAAGAUUUUCAAAAAUGGACUCUCAAUGGGACUACAAGAACUUUGGAAAUGCCCCACCAGGACAAAGCAGCGUCACAAAGCCACAAGAGAAUCCUUUCUUGAUCCGCCAGUCUUCAGUGUACUCGUUAACCUUCGAUGAGUUCCAAAAUACCUGGGGUGGUGGGCCGCGGAAGGAUUUUGGAUCAAUGAACAUGGAAGAACUAUUGAAAAACAUAUGGACUGCCGAAGAGACUCAAGCAAUGACAAAUACACUUGGUGUGGGGAGUGAAGGAAGUGCCCUGGGUGGGAAUUUGCAGAGACAAGGAUCUUUAACUUUGCCUAGGACACUAAGUCAAAAGACUGUUGAUGAGCUUUGGAGAGACCUGAUCAAAGAAACUAGUGGUGCUGCUGAAGAUGGGAGUGGUAGUGCGGGAUCCAAUUUACCACAAAGGCAACAGACUUUAGGAGAGACAACUUUGGAGGAGUUCUUGGUUAGGGCCGGGGUAGUGAGAGAGGAUACUCAACAAAUUGGAAGGCCUAAUAAUAGUGGAUUCUUUGGUGAACUAUCCCUGCUAAACAACAACAACGACUCUAGUUUGGCCAUUGGGUGUCAACAGCCAAAUGGAAACAAUGGGCUCAUGGGAACUCGGAGAAUGGAGAACAAUGGUAAUUUAGUUGCUAACCAGCCUCCUAGUUUAACACUCGAUGCAGGUGGAAUCAGACUCACUCAGCAACUACCGCAGUCACGGCAGCUGUCACAGCAGCAGCAGCUGCUCUUCCCCAAGCCUGCAGCAACUGUGGCAUUUGCAUCCCCUUUACAUUUGUCAAACAAUGCUCAGCUUGCUAGCCCUGGAGUGAGACGAUCGGUUGUUGGAAUUGCAGACCGAUCUGUGAACAGUGGUCUAGCUCACAGUGGAGGAAUGAGAAUUGUUAGUUUAGCAACUGGAGGCGUUACAAUUGCAACAGGAUCUUCUGCAAAUAGGGUAUCACCGGAUGUGAUUGCGAAGAGUAAUGCUGAUACAUCUUCACUAUCGCCAGUUCCAUAUGUAUUUAGCCGGGGAAGAAAAGCCAGCACAGCUCUGGAGAAGGUUGCUGAGAGAAGGCAGAGGAGAAUGAUUAAAAACAGAGAAUCAGCUGCAAGAUCACGGACUCUCAAGCAGCUUUCCAGUAUAGUGUGGUGAAAAGCACUGCAAACUAUUUGAUGGGAAUCAGUUGAGGCUUUGCUCCUGGGGGUCCCCUCUCUUAGCAGUUUUUUUAGCAUGCUGGUUUCAAGCAUCCAUCAAUAUGAUUUAUAUAAUGUUCCAUCUCAAGUUGGACACACAAAAUUUUGCUGCUCCCAGGCCCAUACACAAAAGCUGGAAGCUGAAGUUGCAAAACUCAAAGAACUGAAUGAAGUAUUACAGAGAAAACAGGCUGAAAUAAUUGAAAUGCAGCAAAA